GUAGAGGGACCGAUAAUAGAUGAUUGAGCAGUGGUGCCAUCUGUAACACCUGCCAGAGCCAAAUGGGCAUAAAGAGUCAGGGCCUGAGUUAGAAAUUCAGUUCAAGAGACGCUCUAGAACGUGUGAAUGCGUCUUGAAGCGGUUGCAUUUCUAAUUGUUACGACAAAUUUGUGUUAAUACAGUGAUGAAAACGUGUUGUGUUAGAAAGACGAUUAAAAAAAAUUAAUAAUUUAUUAAUGGAUGUUGAACAUUAAUUAGUUCAAAUUUGAAUUGUGAAAUAAGAUUUUUCAACGUGGAAGAGAAGCGGAACAGGACACAAAUGAUGCCAAAGCAAUGCAGGCAAAAUUUUGUACUUCUUCAUUUCUUAUUUCUUCAAUAAUUUCUUCUGUAGGAAUAGAUUUGAAUCGUAAUCAUAUAGUAUGCAGAUCCAUUUUAAUUUCAAGUGAUGUGGAAUUGCAGUUACAUAGAAAUGGUGACUGUUGCAUCGUGUCGAUAUUGCAAGAUCGAUAAAAAUCGCACGCAUCCGGGUUUAACAAUUUUUAAAAAUAAAAGCCAUGGGUGACCGAAUGUAAAAUAAAGAAAAAACGUAUUCACGGAGUGAAUCAGUGUCAGAUACGUUACAACUGACGUGAUGUUAUUAGUACAUACCAAUGAAACAAUGGCGUGUUAAAUUAUUCAUGAGGUCAUUGUUGCAUCGUAACGCAGAUUCAAACGUCGAGCAAUUUGAGUUUCGCAGGCUAUAGUGGACCACGAUGCAUCUUUAUCCGAUGCCCUGAAGCAAAUGGCCGGUAUACAUAUGUCGAAAGAGUUGCGUCAGGCGAGAAGAAAAAUCUGCGAAUCGGACCGGUUGUAACAACGAGUCAAUCUACUAGAGAGGAAAAAAAUUCCAAGAUAUCGUGUGUGAGGUUCACAUUACGUUCAGAAAGACAUACCAAAGAUAGCUAUCUCGGCUCUGUCGAUUUACGUCAGUAAAAAGAGAAAUUCUGUAGAAAGAAUAGAUUAGUGAGAAAAUACCUUACGUCAAGAAUGCUACCCGACGGCGUUGUUCAUGAAUGCCAAUGUAAACUCAUUUUAAGAACAUUGAAAAAUAACUGGGAUAAAAGGAAUGAAGAAAAAAGCAGGAUGAUGAAUCAACACCGUUUGGACAUUGGGAAUGGAUCAUGAGUUUGUUAGGUGAAAUCGUAUUUCGUUAUAGAUUUGCUGUUGGCAAGACACUUAAAUUAUUCAAUAACGAAAGUUGGCACAACGUGAAAGAAAGGCGAGAAGAAGAAGAAGAAGAAGAAAAGAUCACGCUGCACAUCGCCGCCAUCGAGAGAUUUGGACUUUGACUAGUACUCAAAUAGAAUCCCGAAACACGGUUGAUACAAAAUCGCGCGACAUCCGACACAAUAAGUUCCGGUAAAAGGGAAGAAGAAAAGAAAAGAAAGAAGGGAAAAAAAGCGGUCAAGUGGUGCACUAUACGUAGCUUGACACGGUUCCAUAUUGGUAUAUGUGCUGAUCGUUUCUGUAGUUUAUUGCGAAAUAGAAGAAACGAGAUCAUCCCCGAUCCUCGAGUGCUGAUCGACCUUUGUAUUUUUUUUCUCUCUCUCUCUCUCUCUUUCUUUUUUUUCUUUAAAAAUUCGAGAAUAGUAAGUUGAAUACAUAUAACAGAGAUUCAUACUUAUCACCACUUGCUACAUCUUUCAGAUGCAAGGAGAAUGUAUUAACGGGAAGAGAGAGCGAGGUAUUCGUUAAACUUUUCACGAUUCCACUGGAACGAACUUGGUCCAAUUAAUGCGAUUACUAUGCACUGGAAGCCCCACAUUGUCGUAACAAGGAUGAUCAAAUUUUAAUUCGAAAAGGGAAUCUUAAUAGCACCUUGGGAUUUUAACCCCGCUCGGGGUAAAGAACGGCUUGUGUGACUUAAGUGGUCGUAAAAAGAUACGAAAAGGAUAAAAAAAAAAAGAAAAAAGGAAA
Apis dorsata (giant honeybee) is the source of this 1956-nucleotide long non-coding RNA. RefSeq lists it as uncharacterized. The record is from RefSeq and is a predicted model, not a curated record. Lineage: Eukaryota; Metazoa; Arthropoda; Insecta; Hymenoptera; Apidae. The transcript is spliced from 5 exons.